RNAcentral lists this long non-coding RNA (615 nucleotides) under Brassica rapa (field mustard). RNAcentral's name for it is "long non-coding RNA (BRAP_LNC004979)". The record is from RNAcentral. Lineage: Eukaryota; Viridiplantae; Streptophyta; Magnoliopsida; Brassicales; Brassicaceae.
GGAGAGAACUUUUUUCACAGCAAUCUUAGCAUUUAGAGCAAUUUAGGCAAUUUUCCGUUUUUGGUACUCGAGCUGCGACUCAAUUAGGUUUUUGCCGUCUUAGGGUUUUAGUUUGGAGUAGGACGUUGGCUAGUAACUUAGGCCAUCAAACUUCCUUGAUGGUAAUGCUCAGAUGCACUCGCGCUCGGUGGGGAAGGAUUCGUGGCUUGAUUGGAGAUGUAUAACCUUUGUUUCCGAUGACCUGGAAGUGAAAAAUCAGGAAGAACCACCACAUAGGACCUUGCAAAUGCUCUAAGGGCGGAUAUCACUGUCGCGCAAUGUAGAAACUCAUUAAAAAAAAAAAGAAAGAGAAUGGUCGAGUAUCAUUGUGGUGGUCGAGUUGCGGGUGAUAAGGAUUGAUCGAGAAGUUUUGAAGUACGAGGUGGGCGAAGAAGUGAUCGUGAGUAAACUAUGAGUCGAAUAAGUUGCUCGACCAUAGUUAGAAGAUGUCUUAGAUUGAUCAGACAGACGUUUUGGAAGCACAACAUUUUUGGAAGCACGACGUUUCAGAAGCUCAACGUUUUUGAAGACCGACAUUUCUUCAUCACGAAGUUUUCUCGGAAAAUCUUCGUAUCA